UGGCGGGUAGUUCAACAGGCAGAACGCUUGACUUUGGAUCAAGAGGUUGCAGGUUCGAGCCCUGCCCCGCCAGCAA
Molecule: transfer RNA, 76 nt
Filed under: Actinomycetes bacterium
Lineage: Bacteria; Bacillati; Actinomycetota; Actinomycetes
Description: Actinobacteria bacterium tRNA-Gln
Rfam family: tRNA
About the family: Transfer RNA (tRNA) molecules are approximately 80 nucleotides in length.
Source: RNAcentral